RNAcentral lists this long non-coding RNA (1516 nucleotides) under Piliocolobus tephrosceles (Ugandan red Colobus). RNAcentral's name for it is "lncRNA (ENSPTEG00000013326.1)". Lineage: Eukaryota; Metazoa; Chordata; Mammalia; Primates; Cercopithecidae. The record is from RNAcentral.
AUAUAACUAUAUACAUAUAUGCCCAUAUACAUAUAAUUAUUUCCUUUUUAAAUAUUAAGCCCAAUUUUUCAUUCUUUUUAUUUAGACACAGAAGAAAAAAUAUACCUAAACAUGUUAGGUAAAACAGAUAAUGACAGUUACAAAGAUUUAGUUAAAGCACAUGAAGAAUUUAUUAAAUCUUGUGUUGAUAUUAAAACUAAAUUAAAAUAUAAAGACACAUUUUUUUUUAUUAUUCAAAAACUAAUUCAAAGAAAUUUACAUGAUUUUAAAAAAAAAACAAGGUUUUCAUAUUUUUAGAAAAAAUGAUUAUACUAGCGAAUUAUCAGUUGAUUAUGUAAAAAAUUCCAAUAUAGAAGAAAAAAUUAAAGAACAACUUCUGAAAAAACUAAGUAAUGAAUUAUCAGCUAGUAAAUAUUACCCUUUUCGUAUUUUUAAAUGGAAGGGCGCUUUAGAAAUUAUCAAUAUAACCACAUUAAUGCUUCCAAUAACCUGUAUAGGAUUAUUUUUAUCGAAAAUGGGACUAUUUUCCGUAGCUGUGAAUAUACUACUAACUGCACAUUUUUUAACUUUCAAAAAAGAUCAAAAAAAAAAAAUGGAAGUAUCCACAUUUGUUUUAACUUUGUUUCCGAUACUUUUACAUAUUUCUCUUGGUAUGGUUUCGAAGGAUCUAUUUCUUAAACAUUAUAAGGUAAUACGUACAUACGUGCAUAUACGUAUAUAUACAUGAUAAUUACCACAAUCAAAUGUAAUGAUAUUUUACAGGCAACUAUUUACUAGAGCAUAAUAUGCAUCUAUUUAUAUAAGUAGUUACAUAUUAUGCUACAUUAUAAACAAAAAACAUCUUUCGUUUUGCUUUUUUUUACUUAUAAGCUAUAUAUAUAUAUAUAUAUAUAUAUAUAUAUAUAUAUAUUUAUUUAUAUAUAACCUUUUUUUAACAGCAUAUAAUACCGACGUUUAUAAAAGUAGAAAACAUAUUAUCAUUUUUCAUAAAUAUUCAAUUAUAUAUUGCUUCCCUUAUUUAUUUUGUUAACAACAAUGACGAAGAACCUACAGAAAAUUUAGAAGAGGAAAUUAAAAACGACAAUAUGGAUUUCCAUAAUGAUAUAUAUCAAUAGGAUACAAAUACAUAAAAAUAAUACUUUCCUUUUUUUUUUUUUUAUUCAAUUUUUGUAUGUUUUUAUGUUAUAGAUAUUUUUUUUUUUUUUUUUUUUUUUUUUGUAUAUCGUUAAAUUGUUUUAUAUACGUAAAUUAAAGCAAUAUUAUAAUAUUUGACAAAAAAAAAUAUAUAUAUAUAUAUACAUAAAUAUAUAUCAUAUAUAUUUUUUUUUUAUUUAAUCAUUUCUUUUGUGCACCUCUCUUUAUUUUUUGUUUCGUUAUAUUUUGAAUCCGAAAUAUAAAUAAGCAUAUAUAUACAUAUAUAUACGAUUCCUUUUUUGUUUUGUUUAUAACUGAUUCAUAACAAGUGUCAAACUUAAAAAACUAAAAAACACAGUAAUAACAAAUGCAUGUGCAAGAA